Molecule: non-coding RNA, 73 nt
Organism: Capra hircus (goat)
Lineage: Eukaryota; Metazoa; Chordata; Mammalia; Artiodactyla; Bovidae
Source: the annotation of a RefSeq genome assembly
ACCUAGAUAGCUCAGUCAGUAGAGCAUUAGACUUUUAAUCUGAGGGUCCAGGGUUCAAAUCCCUGUUUGGGCA